RNAcentral lists this ribosomal RNA (368 nucleotides) under uncultured organism. RNAcentral describes it as "bacterial SSU rRNA". It matches the Rfam family "Bacterial small subunit ribosomal RNA", at positions 526 to 896 of the family's 1533-position model. The record is from RNAcentral.
CGUAGGUGGCAAGCGUUGUCCGGAUUUAUUGGGUUUAAAGGGUGCGUAGGCGGCCUUAUAAGUCAGUGCUGAAAUAUCCCGGCUUAACCGGGAGGGUGGCAUUGAUACUGUAGGGCUUGAGUGUAGUCGAGGUAGGCGGAAUUGACGGUGUAGCGGUGAAAUGCUUAGAUAUCGUCAAGAACACCGAUAGUGUAGACAGCUUACUAGGCUACAACCGACGCUGAGGCACGAAAGUGUGGGGAUCAAACAGGAUUAGAUACCCUGGUAGUCCACACUGUAAACGUUGAUUACUCGAUGUUGGCGAUACACAGUCAGCGUCUUAGCGCAAGCGAUAAGUAAUCCACCUGGGGAGUACGCCGGCAACGGUG